AUUGAACGCUGGCGGCAGGCCUAACACAUGCAAGUCGAGCGGAUGAAGGGAGCUUGCUCCUGGAUUCAGCGGCGGACGGGUGAGUAAUGCCUAGGAAUCUGCCUGGUAGUGGGGGAUAACGUCCGGAAACGGGCGCUAAUACCGCAUACGUCCGGAGGGAGAAAGGGGGGGAGCUUCGGACCUCACGCUAUCAGAGGAGCCUAGGUCGGAUUAGCUAGUUGGUGGGGUAAAGGCCUACCAAGGCGACGAUCCGUAACUGGUCUGAGAGGAUGAUCAGUCACACUGGAACUGAGACACGGUCCAGACUCCUACGGGAGGCAGCAGUGGGGAAUAUUGGACAUUGGGCGAAAGCCUGAUCCAGCCAUGCCGCGUGUGUGAAGAAGGUCUUCGGAUUGUAAAGCACUUUAAGUUGGGAGGAAGGGCGGUAAGUUAAUACCUUGCUGUUUUGACGUUACCAACAGAAUAAGCACCGGCUAACUUCGUG
RNAcentral lists this ribosomal RNA (484 nucleotides) under uncultured bacterium. Its description in RNAcentral is "partial 16S ribosomal RNA". It matches the Rfam family "Bacterial small subunit ribosomal RNA", at positions 30 to 507 of the family's 1533-position model. The record is from RNAcentral.